This 492-nucleotide ribosomal RNA is filed under the name uncultured bacterium. Its description in RNAcentral is "partial 16S ribosomal RNA". It matches the Rfam family "Bacterial small subunit ribosomal RNA", at positions 29 to 507 of the family's 1533-position model. The record is from RNAcentral.
AGCGAACGCUGGCGGCAGGCCUAACACAUGCAAGUCGAACGGCAGCACAGUAAGAGUUUGCUCUUAUGGGUGGCGAGUGGCGGACGGGUGAGGAAUAUAUCGGAAUCUACUUUUUCGUGGGGGAUAACGUAGGGAAACUUACGCUAAUACCGCAUACGAUCCACGGGUGAAAGCAGGGGAACUUCGCACCUUGCGCGAUUGAAUGAGCCGAUGUCGGACUAGCUAGUUGGCGGGGUAAUGACCCAGCAAGGCGACGAUCCGUAGCUGGUCUGAGAGGAUGGUCGGCCGCACGAGAGGUGGAACGCGGUCCAGGGUCCUGCGAGAGGCAGCAGUGGGGAAUAUUAGGCAGUAGGGGCGAACAUGGUCCAACGAGAGCACGUGGGUGGAGAAGACCUUCGGGUUGUGAAGCCCUUUUGUUGGGAAAGAAAAGCUGCAGGUUAAGACGCCGCUGUUCUGACGGUACCCGGAAAAUAAGCACCGGCUAACUACGUG